Molecule: long non-coding RNA, 315 nt
Filed under: Homo sapiens (human)
Lineage: Eukaryota; Metazoa; Chordata; Mammalia; Primates; Hominidae
Description: HSALNT0135334
Source: RNAcentral
UCUUGACAGAAUGAUGAAGAAAAGCCAAAGCUUCUCCAGUUGAAUUUCAUGGUGGUGACUUUGUUGACAGAAGAACAACUUUCUCUUGGAGGCAUCAGCUAAGACUAUCCUUUCAGAGCCUUUAAUCAGGGGGAUAUAUAUGUUCUCCACUGUAUAGAGAACCAAGAGGGGGAAUUGGCUAUUCCUGGACAAAAGUCACGCAGAGCUUCCUGAUGGCCUCCUGUCACAAGGUUCACCUUGGAGAAGGAUUAAUGCUUCUGAGAUGGAGGUUUCUUUGCUGUUAGGGUGAAACCAUGAGUGCCUGCAACUCUCUUU